Spea bombifrons (plains spadefoot toad) is the source of this 198-nucleotide long non-coding RNA. RefSeq lists it as uncharacterized. The transcript is spliced from 2 exons. Lineage: Eukaryota; Metazoa; Chordata; Amphibia; Anura; Pelobatidae. The record is from RefSeq and is a predicted model, not a curated record.
CCCGAACAAACUGCAGAUUGGUGUUGAGGAGGUAAGCUACUUUGGGCAUAUCAUCAGUAAAAAUGCAAUCAUUAAAAUGCAAGCACCAACUUCCAGAAAAGAACUAGAAACAGCACUGGGCAUUUUCAAUUAUCUGUCAAAGUUUUCGCAGGGUUUAGCCCAACAAACAGCACCUCUACGAACUCUACUGAAGAAAAA